This 2902-nucleotide ribosomal RNA is filed under the name Escherichia coli BIDMC 39. RNAcentral's name for it is "bacterial LSU rRNA". It matches the Rfam family "Bacterial large subunit ribosomal RNA". Lineage: Bacteria; Pseudomonadati; Pseudomonadota; Gammaproteobacteria; Enterobacterales; Enterobacteriaceae. The record is from RNAcentral.
UUAAGCGACUAAGCGUACACGGUGGAUGCCCUGGCAGUCAGAGGCGAUGAAGGACGUGCUAAUCUGCGAUAAGCGUCGGUAAGGUGAUAUGAACCGUUAUAACCGGCGAUUUCCGAAUGGGGAAACCCAGUGUGAUUCGUCACACUAUCAUUAACUGAAUCCAUAGGUUAAUGAGGCGAACCGGGGGAACUGAAACAUCUAAGUACCCCGAGGAAAAGAAAUCAACCGAGAUUCCCCCAGUAGCGGCGAGCGAACGGGGAGCAGCCCAGAGCCUGAAUCAGUGUGUGUGUUAGUGGAAGCGUCUGGAAAGGCGCGCGAUACAGGGUGACAGCCCCGUACACAAAAAUGCACAUGCUGUGAGCUCGAUGAGUAGGGCGGGACACGUGGUAUCCUGUCUGAAUAUGGGGGGACCAUCCUCCAAGGCUAAAUACUCCUGACUGACCGAUAGUGAACCAGUACCGUGAGGGAAAGGCGAAAAGAACCCCGGCGAGGGGAGUGAAAAAGAACCUGAAACCGUGUACGUACAAGCAGUGGGAGCACGCUUAGGCGUGUGACUGCGUACCUUUUGUAUAAUGGGUCAGCGACUUAUAUUCUGUAGCAAGGUUAACCGAAUAGGGGAGCCGAAGGGAAACCGAGUCUUAACUGGGCGUUAAGUUGCAGGGUAUAGACCCGAAACCCGGUGAUCUAGCCAUGGGCAGGUUGAAGGUUGGGUAACACUAACUGGAGGACCGAACCGACUAAUGUUGAAAAAUUAGCGGAUGACUUGUGGCUGGGGGUGAAAGGCCAAUCAAACCGGGAGAUAGCUGGUUCUCCCCGAAAGCUAUUUAGGUAGCGCCUCGUGAAUUCAUCUCCGGGGGUAGAGCACUGUUUCGGCAAGGGGGUCAUCCCGACUUACCAACCCGAUGCAAACUGCGAAUACCGGAGAAUGUUAUCACGGGAGACACACGGCGGGUGCUAACGUCCGUCGUGAAGAGGGAAACAACCCAGACCGCCAGCUAAGGUCCCAAAGUCAUGGUUAAGUGGGAAACGAUGUGGGAAGGCCCAGACAGCCAGGAUGUUGGCUUAGAAGCAGCCAUCAUUUAAAGAAAGCGUAAUAGCUCACUGGUCGAGUCGGCCUGCGCGGAAGAUGUAACGGGGCUAAACCAUGCACCGAAGCUGCGGCAGCGACGCUUAUGCGUUGUUGGGUAGGGGAGCGUUCUGUAAGCCUGCGAAGGUGUGCUGUGAGGCAUGCUGGAGGUAUCAGAAGUGCGAAUGCUGACAUAAGUAACGAUAAAGCGGGUGAAAAGCCCGCUCGCCGGAAGACCAAGGGUUCCUGUCCAACGUUAAUCGGGGCAGGGUGAGUCGACCCCUAAGGCGAGGCCGAAAGGCGUAGUCGAUGGGAAACAGGUUAAUAUUCCUGUACUUGGUGUUACUGCGAAGGGGGGACGGAGAAGGCUAUGUUGGCCGGGCGACGGUUGUCCCGGUUUAAGCGUGUAGGCUGGUUUUCCAGGCAAAUCCGGAAAAUCAAGGCUGAGGCGUGAUGACGAGGCACUACGGUGCUGAAGCAACAAAUGCCCUGCUUCCAGGAAAAGCCUCUAAGCAUCAGGUAACAUCAAAUCGUACCCCAAACCGACACAGGUGGUCAGGUAGAGAAUACCAAGGCGCUUGAGAGAACUCGGGUGAAGGAACUAGGCAAAAUGGUGCCGUAACUUCGGGAGAAGGCACGCUGAUAUGUAGGUGAAGUCCCUCGCGGAUGGAGCUGAAAUCAGUCGAAGAUACCAGCUGGCUGCAACUGUUUAUUAAAAACACAGCACUGUGCAAACACGAAAGUGGACGUAUACGGUGUGACGCCUGCCCGGUGCCGGAAGGUUAAUUGAUGGGGUCAGCGCAAGCGAAGCUCUUGAUCGAAGCCCCGGUAAACGGCGGCCGUAACUAUAACGGUCCUAAGGUAGCGAAAUUCCUUGUCGGGUAAGUUCCGACCUGCACGAAUGGCGUAAUGAUGGCCAGGCUGUCUCCACCCGAGACUCAGUGAAAUUGAACUCGCUGUGAAGAUGCAGUGUACCCGCGGCAAGACGGAAAGACCCCGUGAACCUUUACUAUAGCUUGACACUGAACAUUGAGCCUUGAUGUGUAGGAUAGGUGGGAGGCUUUGAAGUGUGGACGCCAGUCUGCAUGGAGCCGACCUUGAAAUACCACCCUUUAAUGUUUGAUGUUCUAACGUUGACCCGUGAUCCGGGUUGCGGACAGUGUCUGGUGGGUAGUUUGACUGGGGCGGUCUCCUCCUAAAGAGUAACGGAGGAGCACGAAGGUUGGCUAAUCCUGGUCGGACAUCAGGAGGUUAGUGCAAUGGCAUAAGCCAGCUUGACUGCGAGCGUGACGGCGCGAGCAGGUGCGAAAGCAGGUCAUAGUGAUCCGGUGGUUCUGAAUGGAAGGGCCAUCGCUCAACGGAUAAAAGGUACUCCGGGGAUAACAGGCUGAUACCGCCCAAGAGUUCAUAUCGACGGCGGUGUUUGGCACCUCGAUGUCGGCUCAUCACAUCCUGGGGCUGAAGUAGGUCCCAAGGGUAUGGCUGUUCGCCAUUUAAAGUGGUACGCGAGCUGGGUUUAGAACGUCGUGAGACAGUUCGGUCCCUAUCUGCCGUGGGCGCUGGAGAACUGAGGGGGGCUGCUCCUAGUACGAGAGGACCGGAGUGGACGCAUCACUGGUGUUCGGGUUGUCAUGCCAAUGGCACUGCCCGGUAGCUAAAUGCGGAAGAGAUAAGUGCUGAAAGCAUCUAAGCACGAAACUUGCCCCGAGAUGAGUUCUCCCUGACCCUUUAAGGGUCCUGAAGGAACGUUGAAGACGACGACGUUGAUAGGCCGGGUGUGUAAGCGCAGCGAUGCGUUGAGCUAACCGGUACUAAUGAACCGUGAGGCUUAACCUU